RNAcentral lists this ribosomal RNA (439 nucleotides) under uncultured bacterium. Its description in RNAcentral is "partial 16S ribosomal RNA". It matches the Rfam family "Bacterial small subunit ribosomal RNA", at positions 339 to 795 of the family's 1533-position model. The record is from RNAcentral.
CUACGGGCCGCUCCAGUGAGGAAUAUUGCACAAUGGGGGGAACCCUGAUGCAGCAACGCCGCGUGGAGGAUGACGCAUUUCGGUGUGUAAACUCCUUUUAUAUGUCAAGAAAAUGACGGUAGCAUAUGAAUAAGCACCGGCUAACUCCGUGCCAGCAGCCGCGGUAAUACGGAGGGUGCAAGCGUUACUCGGAAUCACUGGGCGUAAAGGACGCGUAGGCGGGUUGGAAAGUCAGGUGUGAAAUCCUACAGCUUAACUGUAGAACUGCACUUGAAACUUCUAAUCUAGAGUAUGGGAGGGGGAGAUGGAAUUAGUGGUGUAGGGGUAAAAUCCGUAGAUAUCACUAGGAAUACCUAAAGCGAAGGCGAUCUCCUGGAACAUUACUGACGCUAAGGCGUGAAAGCGUGGGGAGCAAACAGGAUUAGAUACCCUCGUAGUC